UUAAAUACAAACUUUCUAUAAUCUACUAUAAUCAUUUAGAUCAUUUAGAUGGGCCUAUAAACCUAACCAAAUUGUAUGUAGCAGAACAUGGAGCCCUUUCUCAUGAUCCCGUGAGCAAGCUUGAGGGCAGGUGGAGGGGAAGGCUACAAGCAGCUUACCUACCCCGCAGGUGAUCAAGAAGACUUGCUGGGUACAUGGAUCGGGUGCCCAGAUCCUGCUUCCUAGGUGGGUUUGCUGCUGAGGCGCAACUGGGAGCCCUGCAGCAGCCAGUAGUUCUCACGGGCAGCCAAGCCCAGUAGACCUUUAUUCCUUUUUUCACAAUACAUAACUGGCUCAAACUGGAUCCACCUUUGGUUAUGUAAGUCAAGACUCAUUAAGGAGGAGGAACUGGAGGGAAAGCCUUAAAUCCAGAUGGACCAGAGACAAUUGUUACAUCAGGAAUACUCUGGCUCUUUUCAUUGGAUCCAAGAGCUGUCUAUCCUUGGAAGAGUGGGGAAGCCUUUCUCCUCUUUGGGGAAAUAAAUAUUGGGACCCAAAGCCUAGCAAUUUUCCAUCUGCUACUGGUAUCCAUAAAGGGAGACUCUGCCACUCUUGCAGCCAGGGACCCACCUAAUUGCUGAACUAAGGUUAAAACUUCAGUGUUAAUGUUUUUAAUAUUUUCUUUCUUAAUUCCUGUGUAUGUUCCAUUUUCCUUUAUUUUCCUCCAUUUCCUUAUUGUGUGCAACUCUUAUUUUUCUCAAUACAUUUUCAUAUAUUUAGAAGUGGCUUCAGUCCGGUUUCAAAAGGUUCUGAAGGGUUACUUGCAAAGCUCUUUGCCAUGUGUCUUGUAACUACUGAAUGCUUUGGUUUUUAGAAUAAUCUCUUGUUUUUAUCUAAAGCUAGGUUCUGUGGACUCUAGGUUCUAGUCCGUGUUGAGCUGUGUUUGAGUCAGUCACUCUAGAUCAGCUUUCAGCUGGCGGUAGCCUACCUCGAAGGAGCAGCAUGCACCUCAAGUGGCAUUAGAGCAAUCUCUCUACUGAGGAUAGAGGAUAGCUCCCAGGAGAAUGUUGUACUCAAGCAUCACAGUUUGUCACUGCUUGUUGUUCCAUACUUGGCAUGUUCCUUCUUUUUUGCCCUGUUAAGUCACUUCAUUAGUUUAAUUACUUCACAAUGGUACCCUGCUAUCUAUGUGAAGUGGUGACUUCUUUUCUUUUCCCUUACAAACAUAUACCUAAACUUUGCAGUCCAAUAUCUUCACAACAAUGUCUUUGAAAGUAAUGAACAAAUGGAAAGAGAAAUUAGAUCCAGGUGUUGCUUGCUUGCUUGCUUGCUUCAUGCAUCAUAACAGCUUUUAUAAGGAAUUGAUGUGUACCCAAUUUUGAGCCUAGAUGCAAAAGAAAAUGUACAGGUUAAUUGAUAUUUUAAAUAAUGGGGAAACCCUGCUUACAGCUCAACUGAAAGAGAAGAUAUCCCCAUACACUGUGCAACGUGCAGAAUAAUGAGUCAUGACUACGUACCAUUAAGAGCCACCUAAUGGUGCAGCGGGGAAGUAACUUGUCUAGGGAGCAAGAGGUCUGCUGGUAUGUUUCCCAGACUAUGGGAAACACCUAUAUUGUGCAGUAGCAAUACAGGAAGAUGCUGAAAGGCGUCAUCUCAGACUGCAUGGGAGAUGGCAAUGGUAAACCCCUCCUGUAUUCUACCAAAGAAAACCACAGGGCUCUGUGGUCGCCAGGAGUCGACACCGACUCGACCUCACAACUUUACUUUACUUACAUACCAUUAAAAUGAAUGAGACAAGUUAGUCAUGACUUAUUUAAAUCCCAUUAAUUUCAAUGGGAAUUAAUCUGGAUUCUGCUCACAGGUUCACAUUUGCAAAUAUGGAUUCUUUUAAGUCAGAAGGGCCUUAAAGAUGUGGAAGUAACCAUCAACUUGCUGAAUCAGGGACUCUAACUUAGCCCAUCAAAAUGUGCAUUGGAAUGUAGAUUUGGUCUGUCUGCUCAUUGCCUUCGAGGAAUGUACAGCUGAAUGUGAAUCUAAACACACAUCCUUCUGUGAAUGGAGAUGUAUAUUUGGACAUUUCUCCUCAUAUUUUGGACAUCUGACAUAUAUGGACAUUUUAAAUGAUCCUGUAGGAGGCAGGAACUGGAGUCAGAGAGUGAGCAUGAGGAAGCAUUAUCUCCAACAUCAGUUCUUCCUCCCACUGCAGUUCAUUAAACUGCAAGGAGGUGUUCCCCUUCACAGUUUAUUAUAUCCUUUGGUGAUUGAGAAACUAAGCUCAGAUCCCCCUCUAAGGCCAAUCCUUCUUUUGAUAUGAUGGGGCAAUUUCUCUCGCAGGUGAAAUUGUUGUUUGAGAGAAACAAUGGGCUUGGAGAAUGUGCAUCUAUCUAAGGGCUUGGAUUAUCUGUGCACAAUUCUCCCCCACUCCAGACUCCACAUUGAAAUUAUGUCCUUUCAGCUUCAUUCCAAGCUCCAACAGGUGGAGGAUCAUAAGCCACUCCCUGUUGUCAGUGUUACCAGUGCAUAAGAGCACUGUGCAUAUUUAUUUAUUUUAUUUAUUUAUUUGAUUUCUAUACCGCCUUUCCAAAAAUGGCUCAGGGCAGUUUACACAGAGAAAUAAUAAAUAAAUAAGAUGGAUCCCUGUCCCCAAAGGGCUCACAAUCUAAAAAGAAACAUAAGACAGACACCAGCAACAGUCACUGGAGGUAUUGUGCUGGGGGUGGAUAGGGCCAAUUACUCUCCCCCUGCUAAAUAAAGAGAAUCACCAUGUUAAAAAGUGCCUCUUUGCCAAGUUAGCAGGGGUUAAAAUGUCCAUAUACAGUCCUUGGUCUGCAAAACUGGUCACCACCAGUUUGAGGGAACUGGGGCAGGAGUUUUAUCCUUGGGGGUUCCUCCUGUCUGCAGAGAUUUUCUCCAACCCUCUCCCCAUAUUGUUGCCCAAAAAGUCUUCACAAGAGAACCUGCUUGAUGAUGAUGCACCAAAUGGCCCCUCCAAUCUCAUGAGGGCAAAAUGAGGGACCAUUUCUUCAACUGCUGUGGGUAGUAGCAAAAUUGGGGAUGAAACUUACUGCUGGUGGUGGUGGUCUUUCCAAUAGUCACCCGCUGGCAGCAACCUUUUUUCUUCACAGAAGCCCCCAUAACUAUGCUAUAUCAUACAUAGCAUCAUUCUCCAGAGCUUCUGAGGGGAAACUGCAGCCACCAAUUGGCCCCUCCAAUCUCAUGAGGGCAAAAUGAGGGACCAUUUCUUCAACUGCUGUGGGUAGUAGCAAAAUUGGGGAUGAAACUUACUGCUGGUGGUGGUGGUCACCCGUUGGCAGCAACCUUUUUUCUUCACAGAAGCCCCCAUAACUAUGCUAUAUCAUACAUAGCAUCAUUCUCCAGAGCUUCUGAGGGGAAACUGCAGCCACCAAUUGCUGGGAGAAGCAAUGCUGCUACUACUGGAAAACAGGCAGUGGGGGAACGGUACACAAACAAAGGGCAUUAACCUAAAAGCCAAGAGAUUAUCAGAAAUGGGCUGACAGCAGACCACCAGGAGUUCCUGUUUAAAAAUGUCUGUCUCCAACAAUGAAUGAAGAUGAUGGGAAAAUACUUCUGCUUUCAAUAAAGAAACAGCCUGAGAGUACAUGUUCUCAGUUGAACAGGUAGAAGUAAAUUAUUCAGAGGCACAGAAGAAAUCAUCUUUCCCAAGUUUGAUUGCUAGUAUGAAGAUUAUCAGGAAGUUUCUCUGAAGUCAUGAACAUCAAGUGUAAUUGGAUAAAUGGAAAAUCAUAAUGGAAAUGUUUGAAAUGGGAUAUAAAAUAUAAUAAAGUGGAAAAAAAUUAGUCAUCGUGUGAAUAUUUGACUACAUGCAUUCCUUUUUCAUACAUGUGGAGCCAUUAUGUAAUUCGAGAACUUCAAUCCCAUUUUCAGUUAGAUAUGUAUUAUGCAGGGAUAGGUAGACAGAUAAUCCAUGUAAUGUACUGGUAGUUUCUGUAUUUGUUUUGAAUGUCAAACAUAGUGUUAUAAUAGAAAAGUUUCUUAAGCAAAAAAAAAAAAAGUCAAAAAGAAAAUAGGAGACCAAAUUAUUACCCUUGACUUGGUUGUACAAUUACUGUCUAGCCAUGAUAAGACAUAGAAGCAUUUUCAAAUUAACCACAACAUAUUUUAAAACUCCAGACAGUCUUGGAGGAAAAUGAUUAUUUAGGCCAAUCAAUCAAUGUUUAUUUUGAUCAAAGACCAAAUACAAAGUUUAAAACAAACAAACAAUAAAAUAAAAAUAUUACAACCAACCGGAUCAUGACUGUCUCAAUUGUUGUUGUGUUUUCACUGCUACUACACAGAAUUUUGGGUAGCAUGCAGGUUGUGGUUUGAUUUGUAUCAAGGAGUAGUAGCUUAAUAUAGAACCCCUCCAGUCUGUCUGGAUGCCUCUGCAGUAGAGGGGAAAUCUAUUUUGUGCGGGAGUCCUUGUAAAAGGCAGUAUACAUCAAGACAUGUUCGACAGUUUCUAACUCCUCUGCCCCGCAUGGGUAGGUUCUCUCAGCCAAUGGCACUUUUGAGUAUCUCCACUGCAGGAGUCCAGAAUGGAUAACAUUAUGUCUUACCCUGAAGAAUUCUUUUGCAGCCUGGGGAAGGAAAGUAUUGUUAAGUAGCUUGCAGGUUUCCAUACAAUGUUUACUACCCAGCCCCUCAUGUACUGAGGCAUUCUGUUAACAUCAUUUUGAUAUUCUAUAUUGUCUACCCACUGGGAAGAUAUCUAUAUGGCUUGCUUGUAACCUAGAGAAGUAAGGAGUUCUAUUGAAAGAUUCAAUGAUAGUAAUUUCUUUGUAUUUUCCUAUUUCCAUUUGGACCAGAGGUGCACUUUGCCAUGGAUCUUGGGGAUCUGCUCUGUGGCCUUCUGUCUCUGGGGCACCCACCAAAUAUUCAGGGGGGCCUCCCCAGAGCCCCACUGCUGCCCCACCCUGCCCCACCACUGCCUGCAGGAUUGGGGGCAAGUUAAUUUGAUAAAACAACUUUUUUCUACCACCACUGCACAGCGGGGAUGAUAUCAGAGACAGGGGCCGGCCGGCAGUGUGCAGACCGAGGUGGGGGAGGCGGCGGCAAGAGCUCCUUCCCUGAGCCCACCUGCAGCUCAUAUGACAGGUCGGGCCAUUUUUGGCCCAUUUCAUGGGCAUGCAACCAGAAGUGUACCUAGGUAAUAUUAGAGCCUGGACCUAAAGGCCUUUGGAGGCUCCUCUGCCUGCUGGAGCCCCCACCACUACCAGUGCAAGUUAAGCAUCAUCCCCCUACACACACACAUACACCAUGACACACGUGUGUGUCCCCACUCCCCCUUCUGUCUCUAAAGCACCCAGCACAGGUCAUAAUCACAUAAUCAAUUCGGUUGCCCGGUGCAGUGUGGGCCAGCAGUGACCACACCACCUGGGACAGAAUAAAGAGGAUUUGGGGGGCCUCGGGGUGUGGAGGCCCUGGACUUCAGUCCUGAAGCCCAGGGGUAAGAGCGCCACUGCGUGUGAUGCUCCAUAUUCAAACGAUGCAGGUGCACCUGCUGCAUAGGCCCACCAGCCACUGCAGCUGCCACCACCACAGGGUGGCGCCUGCUCCACUCAGCUCACCCCCCUCCCCCAUUAGUGAAUAUGGCAAAUAUCAAUACAGCAGGGCAGCCACCCACCCACCCGAGACAGAAGGCCAUGGACCUGAUCCCCAAGGUCCGUGACUAAGUGCGCCUCUGGGUAUACUGGAAAGACCAUAUUACGCCUGUUUUAAAACAAUUGCAUUGACUGCUAUUAUGUUUCUGGGUGACAUGCAAAAUGCUGAUAAUUACCUUUAAGCGCUAAACCUCACUGCCAAUUCAGCAGAUGAACCUCACCACCUAUUAAAGUCAUUUGAAGAAGUCUGUCUCCAGCUGCCAUCAGUUCAUCUGGUGGUGACUCGGAGUCAGACCUUCUCUGCAAUUUGAGGCUUAACAUAGUUAAUGGCCAUCAAGAGUGCCCUAAAGACUCAUUUUUAAUCUAUAGGUUAGAGAUCUUUAAAUGUUUUGAAUUGUUUCUUCUUUUAAUUGUUUAAUUGUUACUUAAUUGUUUUUCCAUUUAUUUUUAUUGGCUGUAAACCUCCUAAGACUAUGGGAUUGGACAGUAUAAUCAUGUCAUGAUAAAUAAAUAUGAGCAUGUGUCCAGACUUA
Long non-coding RNA from Hemicordylus capensis (graceful crag lizard), 6133 nucleotides. RefSeq lists it as uncharacterized. The transcript has 3 exons. The record is from RefSeq and is a predicted model, not a curated record. Lineage: Eukaryota; Metazoa; Chordata; Lepidosauria; Squamata; Cordylidae.